GACAUCAUAGCUCAGUUGGCAGAGCAUUGGACUAGUAUCCCAAAGGUUGUGGGUUCGAAUCCCAGUGUGGUCA
Molecule: transfer RNA, 73 nt
Filed under: Paramuricea clavata
Lineage: Eukaryota; Metazoa; Cnidaria; Anthozoa; Malacalcyonacea; Plexauridae
Rfam family: tRNA
About the family: Transfer RNA (tRNA) molecules are approximately 80 nucleotides in length. Their secondary structure includes four short double-helical elements and three loops (D, anti-codon, and T loops). Further hydrogen bonds mediate the characteristic L-shaped molecular structure. tRNAs have two regions of fundamental functional importance: the anti-codon, which is responsible for specific mRNA codon recognition, and the 3' end, to which the tRNAs corresponding amino acid is attached (by aminoacyl-tRNA synthetases). tRNAs cope with the degeneracy of the genetic code in two manners: having more than one tRNA (with a specific anti-codon) for a particular amino acid; and 'wobble' base-pairing, i.e. permitting non-standard base-pairing at the 3rd anti-codon position.
Source: Rfam by way of RNAcentral